Molecule: non-coding RNA, 447 nt
Organism: Peromyscus maniculatus bairdii (prairie deer mouse)
Lineage: Eukaryota; Metazoa; Chordata; Mammalia; Rodentia; Cricetidae
Source: the annotation of a RefSeq genome assembly
CUGAUCAGCCCUGAACAUAGAACGUUCAGCAUGGAGUUGGGGCUGUGCUGGGUAUUUCUGGUUGCUCUAUUAAAAGGUGUCCAGGGUGAGGUGCAGCUGGUGGAGUCUGGGGGAGUCUUGGUGCAGCCUGGAAAGUCCCUGAAACUCUCCUGUGCAGCCUCCGGAUUCACUUUCAAUGAUGCUUAUGUGCAUUGGGUCUGCCAGACUCCAGAGAAAAGGUUGGAGUGGGUUGCUGAAAUUAGAAACAAAGCUAAUAAUUAUGCAACAUACUAUCUAGAGUCUGUUAAAGGCAGAUUUACCAUCUCAAAAGAUGAUCCCAAAAGCAGUGUCUACCUGCAAAUGAACAGCUUAAGAGCCGAAGACACUGCCAUUUAUUACUGUACUAGAGACACAGUGAGAAGCCUUCAGUAUGAACCCAGACACAAACUUCCCUGCAGGAGCGCUUAG